RNAcentral lists this ribosomal RNA (538 nucleotides) under Salmonella enterica. RNAcentral describes it as "bacterial SSU rRNA". It matches the Rfam family "Bacterial small subunit ribosomal RNA", at positions 977 to 1515 of the family's 1533-position model. Lineage: Bacteria; Pseudomonadati; Pseudomonadota; Gammaproteobacteria; Enterobacterales; Enterobacteriaceae. The record is from RNAcentral.
GGUCUUGACAUCCACAGAACUUUCCAGAGAUGGAUUGGUGCCUUCGGGAACUGUGAGACAGGUGCUGCAUGGCUGUCGUCAGCUCGUGUUGUGAAAUGUUGGGUUAAGUCCCGCAACGAGCGCAACCCUUAUCCUUUGUUGCCAGCGAUUAGGUCGGGAACUCAAAGGAGACUGCCAGUGAUAAACUGGAGGAAGGUGGGGAUGACGUCAAGUCAUCAUGGCCCUUACGACCAGGGCUACACACGUGCUACAAUGGCGCAUACAAAGAGAAGCGACCUCGCGAGAGCAAGCGGACCUCAUAAAGUGCGUCGUAGUCCGGAUUGGAGUCUGCAACUCGACUCCAUGAAGUCGGAAUCGCUAGUAAUCGUGGAUCAGAAUGCCACGGUGAAUACGUUCCCGGGCCUUGUACACACCGCCCGUCACACCAUGGGAGUGGGUUGCAAAAGAAGUAGGUAGCUUAACCUUCGGGAGGGCGCUUACCACUUUGUGAUUCAUGACUGGGGUGAAGUCGUAACAAGGUAACCGUAGGGGAACCUGC